CCUACGGGGGGCAGCAGUGAGGAAUAUUGGUCAAUGGACGAGAGUCUGAACCAGCCAAGUAGCGUGAAGGAUGACUGCCCUCUGGGUUGUAACCUUCUUUUAUAAAGGAAUAAAACGAGGCACGUGUGCCUUUUUGCAUGUACUUUAUGAAUAAGGAUCGGCUAACUCAGUGCCAGCAGCCGCGGUAAUACGGAGGAUCCGAGCAUUAUCCGGAUUUAUUGGGUUUAAAGGGAGCGUAGAGGGUUUGUUAAGUCAGUUGUGAAAGUUUGCGGCUCAACCGUAAAAUUGCAAUUGAUACUGGCAGUCUUGAGUACAGUUGAGGUAGGCGGAAUUCGUGGUGUAGCGGGGAAAUGCUUAGAUAUCACGAAGAACCCCGAUUGCGAAGGCAGCUUACUAAACUGUGACUGACAUUGAUGCUCGAAAGUGUGGGUAUCAAACAGGAUUAGAUACCCUAGUAGUC
Molecule: ribosomal RNA, 460 nt
Filed under: uncultured bacterium
Lineage: Bacteria
Description: partial 16S ribosomal RNA
Rfam family: Bacterial small subunit ribosomal RNA
Source: RNAcentral